Molecule: ribosomal RNA, 497 nt
Filed under: uncultured bacterium
Lineage: Bacteria
Description: partial 16S ribosomal RNA
Rfam family: Bacterial small subunit ribosomal RNA
Source: RNAcentral
GAUGAACGCUGGCGGCGUGCCUAAUACAUGCAAGUCGAGCGAACGGACGAGAAGCUUGCUUCUCUGAUGUUAGCGGCGGACGGGUGAGUAACACGUGGAUAACCUACCCAUAAGACUGGGAUAACUUCGGGAAACCGUAGCUAAUACCGGAUAAUAUUUUGAACCGCAUGGUUCAAAAGUGAAAGACGGUCUUGCUGUCACUUAUAGAUGGAUCCGCGCUGCAUUAGCUAGUUGGUAAGGUAACGGCUUACCAAGGCAACGAUGCAUAGCCGACCUGAGAGGGUGAUCGGCCACACUGGAACUGAGACACGGUCCAGACUCCUACGGGAGGCAGCAGUAGGGAAUCUUCCGCAAUGGGCGAAAGCCUGACGGAGCAACGCCGCGUGAGUGAUGAAGGUCUUCGGAUCGUAAAACUCUGUUAUUAGGGAAGAACAUAUGUGUAAGUAACUGUGCACAUCUUGACGGUACCUAAUCAGAAAGCCACGGCUAACUACGUG